Molecule: unclassified non-coding RNA, 435 nt
Filed under: Hevea brasiliensis (rubber tree)
Lineage: Eukaryota; Viridiplantae; Streptophyta; Magnoliopsida; Malpighiales; Euphorbiaceae
Source: RNAcentral
GAGGUGGGCGACAUAUCAAUAGAAUCGGUUGGUGGUUCAAGAAAUGGUUCUACCAGCAUGCUAGUGAGGCAUUGGAGAAGGGGGAGUUUGUGGAGUAUAUUCCAACUAGGGAGUACUACCACAGGCACACUAGGUCUUUGUUCUGGGAGAUGAAGCUCAUUCUGCCCUUCGGGGAUCAAUGGUGGUUCCGGUGGUUGGCGGGGUGGGCGAUGCCGCCGAAGAUAUCGCUGAUGAAGGUGACGCAAGGCGAGGCGAUCAGGAAGUAUUACCAUGAUAUGCAUGUUAUUCAGGACAUGCUGCUGCCGAUGUACAAGGUUGGGGAUGCGCUUGAGUUUCUCCAUAGAGAGAUGGAGGUUUACCCCAUUUGGCUCUGCCCACAUCGUCUCUUCAAGCUGCCAGUGAAGACGAUGGUGCACCCAGAGGUCGGUUACGAGC